This 330-nucleotide long non-coding RNA is filed under the name Monodelphis domestica (gray short-tailed opossum). RNAcentral describes it as "lncRNA (ENSMODG00000046945.1)". The record is from RNAcentral. Lineage: Eukaryota; Metazoa; Chordata; Mammalia; Didelphimorphia; Didelphidae.
AUGCUUAUGAAUUCCAGCCAAAUCAUCCUACUAUUUCCUAGUCCUAAAAUUUCAUCUCUUCUUGCUUUUCUACUUGUGAUAUCUGUCUAUCAACCCACAUGCAUUUAUUACGUUCCUUCUAUCUGCCUUUCUUCUAUAGGCCUUGAGGAUACCAAGACAAAAAUGAGAGUAUCUGCUGCUUUUGGAAGUCUCAGAAGCUUACAUACACAUGUAAGGGUGAAAAAAAGACUUUGUUCGAAGAAAUGGCUCUCUCUGGGAAAUAAAGAGGAGACGGACAUAUUCAGAAAGGCUAUGUAUGGAACGUUGCUUACAGUUUUGGACACAAUUUAG